ACGGCCUGACUUCUCUUCAGAUCACCUAAUCUCUGCCUUUUACUCAAGGUUUCAGUGGAAAGGAGCAAGUCUGGCUUUUUAACCAAUUUAUUUUUUAUUUUUAAUUAUGUAU
Grammomys surdaster is the source of this 112-nucleotide small nuclear RNA. RefSeq annotates it as U5 spliceosomal RNA. The record is from RefSeq and is a predicted model, not a curated record. The transcript has a single exon. NCBI's taxonomy places the organism in Eukaryota, Metazoa, Chordata, Mammalia, Rodentia, Muridae.